GAUGAAGAACGUAGCGAAAUGCGAUAAGUAAUGUGAAUUGCAGAAUUCAGUGAAUCAUCGAAUCUUUGAACGCACAUUGCGCCCCUUGGUAUUCCGAGGGGCAUGCCUGUCCGAGCGUCAUUGCUGCCCUCAAGCACGGCUUGUGUGUUGGGCCCCGUCCUCCGAUCCCGGGGGACGGGCCCGAAAGGCAGCGGCGGCACCGCGUCCGGUCCUCGAGCGUAUGGGGCUUUGUCACCCGCUCUGUAGGCCCGGCCGGCGCUUGCCGAUCAACCCAAAUUUUUAUCCAGGUUGACCUCGGAUCAGGUAGGGAUACCCGCUGAACUUAAGCAUAUCAAUAAGCGGAGGA
This 346-nucleotide unclassified non-coding RNA is filed under the name soil metagenome. RNAcentral's name for it is "partial contains 5.8S ribosomal RNA, internal transcribed spacer 2, and large subunit ribosomal RNA". The stretch from base 1 to 120 matches the Rfam family "5.8S ribosomal RNA", at positions 35 to 154 of the family's 154-position model. The record is from RNAcentral.